AGAGAACGGUUGACAACAACACAUCCCCGAGGGCUGCACACCCAGAGCUAAUCUGUGCAGCUCAUCCCAAGGCUGUACAGAACUGCCUGAGGAACACCAGUCAGUGAAAGCAAAACAGCUAGCAUGCAGCUUAUUUAUAACAGCAACCAACACCAGGGAAAUGGUGCUUGGGGGAGGGUGGAGCUAUCAAUCAGGGUUCCUGUAUAACAGGGUGGAUGUUUAGUCUUCCAGACCUCUCUGUUGAUGCUGCAAGUUGGCAUCACAAUAAGAUGGGCUGCCCAUAACCUCUGUUAGUGGAGCAGCAGGUGGUCAUAAAGCUUUAUAUCCUAGGGAAAUUAUGUUAUACAUGGAACUGGAAGCACUUUAUAUGUGCUGCAGCAGUGAAUUACACAAACAGUGGUCAGCAAAACCAGCAUGGUUAAUAAUUUUGGUGCAAUAGGUACACAUCACUAUGUUGUAUGGACAUACAGGAGAGCUUUCCAUGGUGAAGGUACUUGGAAGGAGGAGGGGACCCCUGGGCUUAAAAAUAAUAGGAUUUAGAUAAAGGAGGAAGUACAUCUUAAAAAGGCUUUGGACAUGAUUCUUGACACCAGUACUUCUAAGUGAGAGAGGGGGUGUUUUAUACCUGCAGUAAAUCGGCAUUGCAGAGCUGCAGGUGACAGCACACCACAGGGCAUGACAAGGGAGGGCUGGAAGGCGUGUGAAUUGCCUUGGGUCUAAGACAGCUGUCUAACUUCUGGGGAGUUACCUGCUUAAAGUGACUCCAAGGAUUUUAAACCAGCAUAAAAACGAGACUGAAUUAAGGGACACUAACACAGUAUAUUUGCUCAAGUUGUAUUACUUAAGCUCAAGGUUACAGUGAUGCAAAGAACCAAAGCAGUGAGGGGUUUAAAGAAAAGCAGUCCUUUAAGAACCUUUUUACCAACACAAGAACCUUGGGUCAUAAACAAGAGUAAUUACACAUUCCCCUUCAUGAAAAGGAACUGGAUACUAUUAGUAUUAUUGAGAGCUAGUAGCAAGACCAAGAUAGCUGGAGUGCCCAAAUCACUGGCCAUAGCCUCUGCAGGAAAAUUAAAUUGGGCAGCAGGCUUUCAGUUCUUGUGGUAGCCUGGGAGAAGCUCUCUGCAUUCAAGAUGCUGUCUGUACCCUGGAGUCAUCUAUUUCUCAAGUGGAAGAGCUCCUGCAUGUUGAUGGUAACAGGCCUCCAUACGGAAGGGCUAAGAGGCAGUGGUUGAAUGGAGGAGAAAGAGUGAGGGAGAAAGACCUUUGCAGGUCACCAGGAGCAUCUCUUCAUAAUUUGAGUGAGAUAAGCAGAGGGAAUAAGCAGUUGUUAAAACUGCUUUCAUGUGAGUUUCUAAAAAUGUUAUGUAGCUUUCCAAGAAUGAAAGAAAAAUCGCUAUUAAAUAUUAUUAGGUAACACUCAUAUUAGGCCUUACUUUGUUGUGUAAGGGAACUUGAUUGCUGUGCAAGAAAGCAAACAGUAUUGAUGAAACAUGAGAGAUCAAACCCAGCUGCAUUUACUGAUUGUAACUGGAAGACAGAUAUAUCCAGCAAUUUCUCUCACUUGCUUUUUCUCUUCUCUAAAAAGGGAUAAUUCUCAAAAGACAAACUGAUAAUGAGAAAAAUUGAAACAUCAGUCUACAACUGAUAAUAGAAAACUCUUGAAGAAAGAUUUAUUAAAUUUCAAGCCCCUGAAAUUCAACAAUCAGGGAAAAACAGGUUACAGCCUGCUGCAGAUUAGAAGUGAGAGCAGCAAUUAUAUGAGAAAACAGAUAUGUUUACACAUUCAUACACGUUACCAUAUAGGAAAUGGGAAUGUGAGGCUCUUAAAUCCUACAGAAAAUUCAGAAAAUAGAUAAAAGAGGCUAAAGAAAGUACUGAACAGUCUAAAUCUCUUUGUUUUUAAGGGAUUCCUUAAAUGUAUGAGAAACAGAUGAGACCUUAGCCUUGGUGCAUGAAAAGUCGUAGACAAGCAUGAUAAAAUUAGUCCUGACACUGAGUUUUUUUUUUUUUUCUUUUUUUUUCCUCCUAAUGGUAUUGUUUGGAGCUGUGAUGGUGUAAAGAUUUAGAACAUCUCUUGAGACCACAGGAUGGGUAUCCUCUGGAAAGAAGUGUUUGCUGCUCAGGUGAAAUGCUUAUUUGAGAAGAAGAAGAAAGAGCAACAAAAUGACAUAUUUGCAGCAGUAGGUGACAGAAAAUAUAUCAAGAUGAAUGUCUGCCUUUUUGCUGCAAGCAAAUCUUUUCUGUCAAACUUCUAUAAGGGUUCACCCAUGUGUGCAGCAGCGUCUCAAACUUUUCACCUGGUAUUAAAUAUAUCCUAACUCCUGUCAUCAUCAAGAGCACAGAUGGCAGAAAUGAAAUCUGGGGAUCUUUUACAUAUCACAGGAGAAACUACAACACUGGUCAUGGUGAGCUGACUCAGCCUGAUUGCAGCUCUUGUUUUUCUGUGCACUUUGCAGAUGCUGUUGACAUCAAGAGUGAAGUGAAUUCACUUGUGGAUGAAACAAGUUAUGUUUCACCUUUCUGGGCUGAGGUCCGUGCCUCCCUCCAAGGGCCUAGCAGGGCUGGCCAUAGGUCAGGGCCAGCUAUGUGGGCACCACCUUAUGUCCCCUCUGACCCUCCCAUGUUGAAGUUGAAUAAGUCCUGGGGUGGUCCUGGGCUCUUCCCAGGCCCACAGGAGACAUUUGGUACCUUAACAUUUUUACAUAGGUGAGUUACAACAUCGCCAUCAUACCACACUCUUUUUAAUACUUCUUCUGGUACUUUCUAUCAUAAAACUUAUGAUUGCAACAUGGACAGCAGAAGUGGAGGCACUGCAAACCUUCCCUUGCAUGCCUCAUCCUCUCCCCUGUGAGUUAUGUUCCUUGGACAGGGAGCAGAUGAGCAAUACAGGCAAGGUCAUGAGGUGUAGGAGUGGAAGGAUUCAGCCUUGCCUGUCCCUACCUGCCAGCACCCUUGCAUUUUUAUCAUGCUUUUCUGAGAUAAGCUUUCUGCUGUUGUCCUUAAGGAAGGAGUGUUUCUCAGUAUAGGCAUGAUGUAAUGCUGCCUUUUAUAAUCCUGGAGGAAAACAGGCAUUACCAUCUGUACUUCAAUAACAUCUAUGCAGUUAAAUAACACUCUGCAGCUGUGUGUGGGAGUGCUCUGCCAUGCCACUCUUGGAGUCAUUCAUUUUUCAGGCACAGCAACUUCAGGGAGGAGGACUGACCACAGUACUGACCUUGGGUUGGGGGAGCAGCCAAAGACAGAGCCGUGCCAAAGACUGCUUUGCCCGCUGUGUGGGGGCUGAUCCAGGAGAAAUUGAUUCCUUGGCUCUUCUGCAGCAGGAGAGAGCUGUUUUCCCUUGAAGCCUGUGCUUGCUUUGGGGUGUUUCAGACAUUGCCCGUGGAUGAAGGAGGGCACUCCUUUCCACCACCUCCAGUUUUCCUGGUUACAAGAUUUGCUGAAUUCCCUUUGGUAAAGCAUCUGAUUUCUAGACCCUUCAAAAGUUUUCAGGCAUUCGGAUACUUCAGUCAGCUCCUGCUGCACAGGCCUGGUUUUCAUGUCCUCCUCUGAGCCUCCAACAUGAAAGCUUAUUUUAUUGCUAAAAAAACAAGCCCAGAAUUUAUUAGUAUUUUUAUUAUUUUGCUAUUAUAAAGCGAGUGCCAUGAAAGCACCUCACAAUAAAUUCCUGUGAGAUGUGAUGGCCUGAACCUGAUCAAAGAUUUUAGGGAAGCACAGCUCUAAGCGAGCGAUUCUAGUCAGUGCAUACGUGUGAAGUCGUGUCCACAGGCACCAUACUCCCAGAGGAGCACAGCAACAUUCUGCACACCAGCCUGGGAGGGAGAUGGGAUGCUAUAGAAAGGGAUUUUUUUUUUCUUUUUUUAAUGUCAUACCUACCAACUUUCCAGCUUUGCAAGUUUGGAAAUGCUAUGACACAAUAAGCAUAUUUUCCUGAUGUAAGUUUUUAUUUUUAUUUUUUUUUUUAUUUUUUUUUAUUUUUUUAUUUUGAAAAUUAACUGUAUUUUUCUAAUUGAACUGGUUAUUAAAAAUAAAUCUUCCUGACCAUUCAUAGAACCUUGCUUUCCAAGAAAUACAAAGAAGUCAGAGGUCAAAAAGGAUCUUUGACCUGAGCAGCUGCUGACUGGGUUUUACUUCACAACAAUCAUUAAAGUGUCAGGACCUAAUGCCUCUGUAGAAAACUUUAUGCUGUUUGCCCAAAAUGACUCAGAGGUGAAGAGAAGCUUGAAUGAACA
This is a non-coding RNA of Anas platyrhynchos (mallard), 4232 nucleotides long. The record is from RefSeq and is a predicted model, not a curated record. NCBI's taxonomy places the organism in Eukaryota, Metazoa, Chordata, Aves, Anseriformes, Anatidae.